UUAAAUACACACUGUGGAUGCAUUGAAAUGUCUUUGUUGUUUUCUGGGUACAGAUUUUUCUUUGCGGGGACGAGACGACGUUGGUUCCAUCCUUCCCCACCCCCCUCACUAAUGAAAUUAUUCCACAAGGAGGUUGUACGCUGACUGAUUCGAAAACAUUUAGCUAAAGUGCUUCUUGAAUGUAUCACUGCCGUGUUAUCUUGGAAGCUGUCAGCUGAGACUCCAGAGUGGCCCGGCUCUGCUACUCUCACAUCCCCAGGGAUUUCGGUCUCACAGCAGGAAUGUGGGCUAGAGAAACCGGCUCCACACGGCCCUCCACUCACUUACCUACAGUCAAGCAGCGAAGGGUCCCCGAAGGACUGUCUUCUGAAGCAAGUGUCCCGCCCAAGCAUGAACACAGACAUCGACAGCUGGGGAUCCAUUUGCAGCUUUGGAGCAGACCUCAGUGGCAGCAAGCGUUUAACACCCGAAACUGGAAGAAGCUUAUGGAUUCAGAAAACAAGUGCCAAGCAGGAACCGGAGACUUCCUGGAGGUCCGAGCAAGAUCUCAGACUCGUGGAGAAACUGAGAGUGUGGGCCUGUCUCAGAGGGAUGACGGCCUAGUACCUGCAACCUGAAUAAUCAAGGUGAAGCCGGACACUUCUCUUUGCAGUUGCUCAAGGCAACGCCUGUCACACACACCACUCACAGUCAGCACGGUUUCUCCAUUAGCUCCUGGAGACCCACUGGUCUGCGCCCGACGUCUGUGCCAGCUCACCUUUUCUCCUAGUAUAGCUACAUGGACUUUUCUUCGGCUGUUUAAUUAUUUUAUUUUCUCAUAGACAUUAUUAACAAGAAAUGUUCCCAUAAUGCUUUGCCUUUGACAUUUAAUUGCUGUAAACGAAAGGUGGAAUAAAUGUGGAAUAUAAACAGGAA
Lepisosteus oculatus (spotted gar) is the source of this 915-nucleotide non-coding RNA. The record is from RefSeq and is a predicted model, not a curated record. NCBI's taxonomy places the organism in Eukaryota, Metazoa, Chordata, Actinopteri, Semionotiformes, Lepisosteidae.